This 157-nucleotide ribosomal RNA is filed under the name Bipolaris cynodontis. RNAcentral describes it as "5.8S ribosomal RNA". The stretch from base 1 to 136 matches the Rfam family "5.8S ribosomal RNA", at positions 19 to 154 of the family's 154-position model. From Rfam's summary of the family: 5.8S ribosomal RNA (5.8S rRNA) is a component of the large subunit of the eukaryotic ribosome. It is transcribed by RNA polymerase I as part of the 45S precursor that also contains 18S and 28S rRNA. The record is from RNAcentral. Lineage: Eukaryota; Fungi; Ascomycota; Dothideomycetes; Pleosporales; Pleosporaceae.
UCUUGGUUCUGGCAUCGAUGAAGAACGCAGCGAAAUGCGAUACGUAGUGUGAAUUGCAGAAUUCAGUGAAUCAUCGAAUCUUUGAACGCACAUUGCGCCCUUUGGUAUUCCAAAGGGCAUGCCUGUUCGAGCGUCAUUUGUACCUUCAAGCUUUGCU